RNAcentral lists this ribosomal RNA (1012 nucleotides) under uncultured korarchaeote. Its description in RNAcentral is "bacterial SSU rRNA". It matches the Rfam family "Archaeal small subunit ribosomal RNA", at positions 195 to 1204 of the family's 1478-position model. Lineage: Archaea; Thermoproteati; Thermoproteota. The record is from RNAcentral.
GCUGAGGCCCCAGGGUGGGACCGCGGCCUAUCAGGUAGUAGGUGGGGUAACGGCCCACCUAGCCUACGACGGGUACGGGCCCUGAGAGGGGGAGCCCGGAGAUGGGCACUGAGACAAGGGUCUAGGCCCUAAGGGGCGCAGCAGGCGCGAAGAUUCCGCAAUGCCCGAAAGGGCGACGGAGUGAACCCGAGUGCCACCCGCUGAGGGUGGCUGUUCCCCUGUGCAAAAAGCAGGGGGCAGGAAGGGGAGGGCAAGGCUGGUGGCAGCCGCCGCGGUAAAACCAGCUCCCCGAGGGGUUCCCACGCAUACUGGGCCUAAAGCGUCCGUAGCCGGCCCUGUAAGUCUGCAGUUAAAUCCGCCUGUAGACAGGCGGGUUGCUGCAGAUACUGCAGGGCUAGGGAGCGGGAGGAGCCGGGGGUAUUCCCGGGGGAGCGGUAAAAUGCGUAGAUCCCGGGAGGACCACCAGUGGCGAAGGCGCCCGGCUUGAACGCGUCCGACGGUGAGGGACGAAAGCUGGGGGAGCAAACCGGAUUAGAUACCCGGGUAGUCCCAGCCGUAAACGAUGCCGGCUAGGUGCUGGCCAAGGUUUCGGCCUUGGCCAGUGUCGAAGCGAAGGCAUUAAGCCGGCCGCCUGAGGAGUACGGCCGCAAGGCUGAAACUUGAAGGAAUUGACGGGGGGGCACCACAAGGGGUGAAUGCCUGCGGCUUAAUUGGACUCAACGCCGGGAAUCUUACCGGGGGCGACAGCAGGAUGAAGGUCAGGCUGAAGACCUUACCAGACGCGCUGAGGGGUGGUGCAUGGCCGUCGCCAGCUCGUGCCGUGAGGUGUCCUGUUAAGUCAGGCAACGAGCGAGACCCCCGCCCCUAGUUGCCAGCGGCCUCCUUCGGGAGGGACCGGGCAAACUAGGGAGACCGCCUCCGAAGAGGAGGAGGAAGGUGGGGGCUACGGCAGGUCAGUAUGCCCCUAAUCCCCCGGGCCGCACGCGGGCUGCAAUGGGCGGGACAGCGGGAG